GGCUCGGUAGCAGAUGGUCCGCAUCUGCUUUCCAUUUCAAGUUGUCACCAGAGUAAUGCAGACACUGCCUGUUCGACUCGGGCCCGAGCCA
Mycena leptocephala is the source of this 91-nucleotide non-coding RNA. The record is from the annotation of a GenBank genome assembly. Lineage: Eukaryota; Fungi; Basidiomycota; Agaricomycetes; Agaricales; Mycenaceae.